GAACGCGAAGAACCUUACCAGGUCUUGACAUCCUGCGCUACACCUAGAGAUAGGUGGUUCCCUUCGGGGACGCAGAGACAGGUGGUGCAUGGCUGUCGUCAGCUCGUGUCGUGAGAUGUUGGGUUAAGUCCCGCAACGAGCGCAACCCUUUUCCUUACUUGCCAGCAUUUCGGAUGGGAACUUUAAGGAUACUGCCAGUGACAAACUGGAGGAAGGCGGGGACGACGUCAAGUCAUCAUGGCCCUUACGGCCAGGGCUACACACGUGCUACAAUGGUCGGUACAAAGGGUUGCUACACAGCGAUGUGAUGCUAAUCUCAAAAAGCCGAUCGUAGUCCGGAUCGCAGUCUGCAACUCGACUGCGUGAAGUCGGAAUCGCUAGUAAUCGCGGAUCAGAAUGCCGCGGUGAAUACGUUCCCGGGUCUUGUACACACC
Molecule: ribosomal RNA, 434 nt
Filed under: uncultured bacterium
Lineage: Bacteria
Description: bacterial SSU rRNA
Rfam family: Bacterial small subunit ribosomal RNA
Source: RNAcentral